Molecule: long non-coding RNA, 1462 nt
Filed under: Bos grunniens (domestic yak)
Lineage: Eukaryota; Metazoa; Chordata; Mammalia; Artiodactyla; Bovidae
Description: lncRNA (ENSBGRG00000025635.1)
Source: RNAcentral
AAGAAAUUCUUCAAGAAGCCAAAGAGAUGAUAUAAAAGAAUCUUUUGAGGUUUUUGAGCUUCAGGCUAAACAGGGAGAAACAUUCUGCAGAAGAAAUUGUCAUAAUAAAGUUUCAUAUUUUUCAAUUCCUGUUUCUCCUGAGAAGCUAAGGAAUAUAACUUUCAUACUCUAGUCGUAUUAUAGAAAGACUUUGGCUUAAUAGAGAAGCGAUUAGGAUUUGGAACAAUUCUAUUUGCCUAAGAAGAGGUCAGUUCAUAAUAAAAGGAAGAUCAUAACCAGGGUACCUGGGUUUACCUUGGCUUUAUAAAGCGGUAGACCACCAGCAUGCUCACGAAGUCCAGCAGCAUACACAGGGCUUGAAAGGAGAUGAUAGCCAGUCGCAAGUACUUGUCUUCCUGGACAAAGCAGGGGCUGUCGUCAGCACAGUAGGGGCAGCCCUCGCUGCACGGCAGGCAGACGUGGACUUCUUCUGACACAUCCUUGGCACUUUCUACAAAAUGGUGAUCCGGACCCCUUCCUGAAAAUUCCAAAUAAAACCAGUGUCACUGCACCUUGGAAGCAGGUGAGACAGAAUCAAAACACAUCCUCCUUCUUCAUUCCUUUUCCUCUAACUAAAAACCUUUUUCAACCUUCUUGCUCAGAGAGUUACUUUGCCUUUAGACUCAAACAAAAUUCUUUUCAUCCUUUUGAUUUAAAAAAAUGUCAUUUGGAGCAAUUGAGGAAAAUUAGCAAAAUGGAACUAAAUCUCCUCAGAGGCAGGGAACAGUUUUCUGUCUUUAUUUCACUAUCUUCCACUCCUAAUGGAAACUCCCUAUGGUCACAAAUCAUAUUCUAUAAGUAUUUGCUAAAGAAUUAACCAGAAAAAAAAAAAGGAUGAGAAAGUUGUAUCAUUCCUGUACCAAGUAAAUAUACACAACACUUUUGGAACCUCUUGACCUAGAUGGCACAGAAUCUGAAAUGAGGCUUUGACUGCUCUUUAAUCCAGCAGGGAUUUCAUCCACCAAGUUCAUUAGGUCUAAAUUGGAUAAAAUGGCACUUAAUCGACAGUUGUUCAGUGUGCAAUUGCCUAAUGAUGCUGCAUCCUCUGCCCAGAGGACAGUCCAUACUUACAGGCUAUCGUGUAAUUUCCCACUCUGCACACCCAUAGGACAUUUCCACACUAUUAACUAACUGCUGUUACUGAUCUACCUUUAGUUUUGGAUUCUUAUGUCUUGGUUAUCAAACUUAACUUAGCCCUGAAGCCCAAGAAGUAAGAAUUCUCUCUAAAUGUUGAGUUGGCAAUGCUCCGUCACUUCAGUCAUGGCCAACUCUUUGUGACCCCAUAGACUAUAGUCUUCCAGGUUCCUCUGUCCAUGGGAUUCUCCAGGCAAGAAUACUGAAGUGGAUUGCCAUGCCCUCCUCCAGGGGCCUUCCCAACUCAGGGAAUGAAACCAUGUCUCAGGUCUCCUGUGCUGCAGGUGGA